ACUGAGACAGACUGGUUUUGCGUAAUUAGACAAAUGCAAUUAAAUAAUUAAUUACUUAUACUUUUCUUGACGACAAAGAAGUUUUAAUCGGAUUUAAAAGAGUUGAAAAUGUAACGGUUUGUGAAUGAGUUGUUUCUGAAAUUUUAUGUGUGUGUUAAGAGUGAAACGUUAUGAGGGACAGGUACAUCUGACUACAUGGUAUAAGCUGAUACCAUCUAAUUGCCACCAGCCAUAACAGCCAAACUGUUCAUCGCCAGUGGAAAAGCGUUCUGUCUAGGGUUUUUCGAGGGGCGGCUGAAAAUUAGGAACAUGCACUAUCUUCAUCGCGUGAAGAGGGAUCCGGCGACAACUGUAGUGUUCGGUGAGAACCUGUGAGUACUGACGAGUACCGAGUGAGUACCGGGUGAGUACUGAGUGAGUACCAAAUGAGUACCGCGAGUACAAGUCGAGGGGACGCGAGCAUACUUCACGUCGCGAUAGACGGGGGUUUUUUGAACAUCUUCGA
Molecule: long non-coding RNA, 505 nt
Organism: Pectinophora gossypiella (pink bollworm)
Lineage: Eukaryota; Metazoa; Arthropoda; Insecta; Lepidoptera; Gelechiidae
Exons: 3
Source: RefSeq, a predicted model, not a curated record